CCCGCUGAACUUAAGCAUAUCAAUAAGCGGAGGAAAAGAAACUAACAAGGAUUCCCCUAGUAACUGCGAGUGAAGCGGGAAAAGCUCAAAUUUAAAAUCUGGCGGUCUCUGGCCGUCCGAGUUGUAAUCUAGAGAAGUGCUGCCCGCGCUGGACCGCGUACAAGUCUCCUGGAAUGGAGCGUCAUAGAGGGUGAGAAUCCCGUCUCUGACAUGGACUACCAGGGCUUUGUGGUACGCUCUCCAAGAGUCGAGUUGUUUGGGAAUGCAGCUCAAAAUGGGUGGUAAAUUCCAUCUAAAGCUAAAUAUUGUCGAGAGACCGAUAGCGAACAAGUACCGCGAGGGAAAGAUGAAAAGAACUUUGGAAAGAGAGUUAAACAGUACGUGAAAUUGCUGAAAGGGAAACGCUUGAAGUCAGUCGCGUUGGCCGGGGAUCAGCCUCGCUUUUGCGUGCGUGUACUUUCUGGUUGACGGGUCAGCAUCAAUUUUGACCGCUGGAAAAAGGCUUGGGGAAUGUGGCAGCUUCCGCUGUGUUAUAGCCCCUUGUCACAUACAGCGGUUGGGAUUGAGGAACUCAGCACGCCGCAAGGCCGGGUUUCGACCACGUUCGUGCUUAGGAUGCUGGCAUAAUGGCUUUAAGCGACCCGUCUUGAAACACGG
RNAcentral lists this ribosomal RNA (657 nucleotides) under uncultured fungus. RNAcentral's name for it is "eukaryotic LSU rRNA". It matches the Rfam family "Eukaryotic large subunit ribosomal RNA", at positions 24 to 664 of the family's 3401-position model. Lineage: Eukaryota; Fungi. The record is from RNAcentral.